RNAcentral lists this long non-coding RNA (10381 nucleotides) under Diabrotica virgifera virgifera (western corn rootworm). RNAcentral's name for it is "uncharacterized LOC126893381". Lineage: Eukaryota; Metazoa; Arthropoda; Insecta; Coleoptera; Chrysomelidae. The record is from RNAcentral.
AAACCAAACUUUUUAGAAAAGUAUGUUCUAAAAAAACGGCCUAUAGCAUUAUUUAAUUUCAAACUACCCUUAAGACCUUAAAUGAACCUCAAAGUUUGAAAAGGUAAACUGAUAAAAUUCCAUUUCCAGCAUUUUUUUAACAGCAUAAGGCGAGCCGAUAACGGUUUGUAAUUUUUUUCUGGAAAAGACAUACGUACAUACUUUAAAUAAAAAAGUUUGAGCUGAGACUUGAGUAAAUUUUUUCAAAAAAAAUCUCAAAAAUGUAAUUUUUUGAAAAAUCUCAAAGUGCGACCCCUUACACGGAUGAAAAAAUUUGAAAUUUGACUGAAUGUUAGCCGCUAGCAAGUAAAAUUAGGAGUAAAAAUUUGAAGUUGCAGACUUACGUCAUAUAUGAGUUACAGGCCCGAAAAAAUGGUAAAAAAUUAAUUUGGGCGUUUCGAGCAGGGUAAUUAAAAUUCAAGUAAACUAUCUAAUGAAAUAAAAUUAAUGUAUUUUCACCAGAUUUCACAACGAAUACAAAUUUAUACAGGGUGAGCCAAAGAAACGUGUCCUCGAUAUUUGGUAAUAUGUAGUUACCUAUUAGAUUUUAAGGAAAAACCGAAGUAGGUCCAUUUUUAUAUUGCAAUUUUUUGGCAUAUAUUUCAUGCUACGUGACGUCAUCCAUCAGAGCCGAUGACGUAAUCGAUUAUUUUUUAAAUGCGAAUAGGGGUCGUGUGGUAUCUCAUUUGAAGGCGUGUUCAAUUCUCUAUUUUUCGCUUAAAUUAAAUCACAAGUAGCCCUUAAAUCACAAGUGGCUCUUGACAGUUUGAACAUUUUUAAUGUAAGCAAAAAGCAAUGUUUAUUUGCCAAAAUAUUUAUUUUUCUAUAUUAUGGCAGCAUUAAAAUGUAUUUUGAGUUUAAUAAAUUACAUACAUUCAUCUUUUUGUGUCAAUUAAUUUAAUUCAAAAAUUAUGUUUUUGGCCACUCUGUAUAAAUAAUGAUUAUUGUUUAUAUUAUUGAACACUCUUUCAAAUGAGAUAACAUACGACCCUUAUUCCUAUGUUAAAAAAUUAUCGAUUACGUCAUCACGUCCAGAUGGAUGACUUCACUAGUAUGAAAUACAUAUAAAAAAUUGUAAUUUAAUAAUAAAAAUCAACCUGUUUCGGCAUUCCCUUAAAAUCCAAUAACUGCCAAAUAUCAAAUGGCAUCAAUUUUCCUUGGCCCACCCUGUAUAAAUUUGUAGUCAUUGUGAAAUCUGGUGAAAAUAGAUUAAUUUUUAUUGCAUUAGACAGUUUAUUUGAAUUUUAAUUACCCUUCCCGCAAACGCUCAAAUUUUGACCAUUUUGAUUUUUGACCAAUUUUUUCAGGCCUGUAACUCCUAUACUCCUAUAUGACGUAAGUCUGCAACUCCAAAUUGUUACUCUUUAUUCUACUUGCUGGGGGCUAACUCAGCCAAAUUUCAAAUUUUUUCAUCCGUGAUCAAAUUUUUGAGAUUUUUUUUGAAAAAAUUUAUCUGUCUCAAAGCUCAAACUUUUUUAUUUAAAGUAUGUACGUAUGUCUUUUCCAUAAAAAAAUUACAAACCAUUAUCGGCUUGCCUUACGCUGUUAAAAAAUGCUGAAAAUGGAAUUUUAUCAGUUUACCUUUUCAAACUUUGAGGUUUAUUUAAGGCCUUAAGGGUAGUUUGAAAUUAAAUAAUGCUUUAGGCCGUUUUUUAGAACAUACUUUUCUAAAAAGUUUGGUUUUUGAUUUAUUGUUCUAGGACAAACCUCAGUGAAAAUAUUGGCUAAAGAGCAAAGCCAUGUUUUCCGUGAAAAUGAUCGAUACGCUUUAACAAAAAUGGCCGUCAUCGCAAAAUAAUUUUUUUAAAAAUAAAGUGAGUGCAAUUUUGUACUCUCUAUAGACUGAAGGUCAAAAGGUAGAAAAAUAAAAAAUAUUAAAAAUGGUCAAGCAACCAACUUAAUUUAUAUUGGACCGCUUGACAUGGAUUGGCCCAUCAUAUAUAAGGUUUAGUCUUUAUUAAUUUCAGCGGAUUGUAUUGAUCUUCGCUUAUUGAUAUUCUCUCUUUAGUAGUUUCCUUAUUACCGAUUGUCGUGCUUUGCUACCAUAUGAGCAACUAUCUCUUUUCAUCGAAUCUGUCCGUCGGCGUCGGCUGCUCUCAUGGACUCAGAAAAUGUCUUGCCACUGGCUUUCUGAACGUGAUCUGUUCAUCGCGUAGGUGAGCGACUUUUGCCUCUGCAACCUUCGACAUUUCCUGAUACUAGAAGAUUUUCAUUAAUUCUUUAUAGAGAAAGUAAAGUCUGAAUGUGGAAUCUCUUGGAAGAUUGAGUGGUUUGUUCUGUGCUCUGGCCAUGGGAUCCGAAAGAUUCUCCUCCAGCAUCACAUCUCGAAGGUGUCAAUUCUUUUCCUAUCAUUUGAUUUCAUUGUCGGGCCCGUAACUGAGUAUAGGAAAAACUAAGGCACGUACCCAGCUCAUUUUGGUAUUCUUCGACAUCUUUCCAUAGUUUUGAUAAUCGACUCUCGCAUUUUUGGCCACCUGUGGUUGUUUGCAAUGACUUUGAAUAAUCGACUAUCAUAAUUUUUCUUUUUUGUUUAUUGAUCUUGAGACCACAUCUAUUCCUUUCGGUUUCCACUAUCUGCAGUAGACUGGACAUUUCUUCCUUUGCAAUUAUUUGACUUAUCGUAUCGUCUGCAUAUCCAAGGUUUGAGAUUUUUUUGACUGUGAUAGAGAUAUCGCCAUUCCAUUUGUUACGUGCUUUUCUCAUUACAUAUUCCCUAUAGAAGUUGAAGAGACUUUAAGAUAGAAUACAUCUCUGACGGACUCCCCUACAAGGGUGUGACUUACGGUUUUAAUUUUUUUCUUUUUUUCAUUAUUCUUGUAUAGGCUCUUCACCAGAGUUGACAGGUGAUCAGGAACUCCAAUAUCGUGUAGAAUGUUCCACAAAACUUUUCAGAAAGCAGAUGAUCAUAGGAAUUUUGAAUUCUCAAGCUUAAUAAAUGAUCUUGGUAAUUUUCUCUCUUGUGCCCUUACCCUUCAUGCAACCUGCUUAUUCUUGUGGUUUUUUUCUCUUUAAGUGUGCUACAUGCGGACAUUUAAUGAUUGACAAUAAAAUUUUAUUUUGGGUGUGAAAUUAGGGAGAUGGUUCGGUAGUUAAUACAUUUUGUAGUUGCAUUUUUCUUAUGAAUUGGAGUAAAUAGCACAGUACACUGUCACUUAACGAUUCUCUAUAUUGCUCAGUUUCUGCAUUAAUUGGAAACCAGAUUCACCGAGGUUUUAAAAAAGCUUGAUCGUGAUAAAUGAUCAAAACUAGGUGAUUUAUUGCUUUAGUGUGUUUUAUGGCUUCAUCAACUUAAUAUCUUAGGGUAUCUGGUUCUAGAUUUGUUGGCGCUAUUUCUAGUGCUGUGAUUUGAUUAACCUUUUCAGCACCUCUUUAAUAUUCCCAAGCAGCAACGUGAUGCCAGUAUAUAAAAUCUUCUAUAAUAUACAGAGUGUUUGGUAAAGAAUGGGCCAUACCAUAACCUUAGAUUCCUGAGGUUAAAAUAGGUCGAUUUAAGCUAACUUACCUUAGUACAAAAGUUGAUAAUACCCGAAAUACAGGGUGUCAAACUUAAACUUUUAUUUUAUUUAUUUUUGAAUAUUUUCUGACAGGCAUGGGACAACAACACGAAAUUUGGUAAGUGGUGCUGGCAUUGUACAAUCUACUAAAUGAUGUUAAACAAACGUUUCUGGCUACUACCAGAGGCGUACGACGGAGGAACGUGAAUGGUUGACCCUUCCCAAAUUCUACGCCACUGGCGGAAUUGCUAUUUUAGUGCAAUUUUUUGAUUCUCCAAUACUUUCUAUGUAAAAACAUACUGUUUAUUCGUAACGAUUAGGCCAUUAGUUUUCGAGAUAUUUGAAGCUAAAAACGAAGGAGCAUAAUACAUUAAAUCAAAAUAAGUGUGCGUUUUCAUUUUUGACUUCAAAUAUCUCGAAAACUAAUGACUUUAUCGUUACGAAUGGUCGAAGAGUAUAUUAUUUGCAUAGAAAGUAUUGGAAAAUCUAAAAAUCAUGCUAAAAUAGCAGUUUCAUCAGUGGCGUAGAAUUUGGAAAGGGUCAAGCAUUCAGUUUCCCCUGUCGUACGCCUCUGGUAUUAGCCAGAAACGAUUAUUUAACAUAAUUUAGUAGGGUGUAUAGUGCCUAAACUUUCUGCCAAGUAUCACACGGAUAUGUCAAAUUAUUUUAAAGUAUUAUUUUUUUAAAUAAUUUAUUCUUUAUUUAAAACUUUAAGAAUUAUGUGUGCCCGAUACUACAAAACAAUUUGACAUAUCCUUAUGGAACUUGGCAGAAAGUGUAGGUACUGUACACCCUACUAAAUUAUGUUAAAUAAUCGUUUGUGGUUAAUACCAGAGGCGUACGACAGGGGAAAGUGAAUGGUUGACCCUUCCCAAGUUCUACGCCACUGAUGAAACUGCUACUUUAGCAUAAUUUUUAGAUUCUUUAAUAUUUUCUAUGCAAAUAAUAUACUCUUCAUUCGUAACGAUAAAGUCAUUAGUUUUCGAGAUAUUUGAAGUUAAAAAUGAAAAGGCACAUUUAUUUAGAUUAAUGUAUUGUGCUCCUUCGUUUUUAGCUUCAAAUAUCUCGAAAAUUAUGGACUUAUCGUUACGAAUAAAGAGUAUGUUUUUUACAUAGAAAGUAUUGGAGAAUAAAAAAUUGCACUAAAAUAGCAAUUCCGCCAGUGGCGUAGAAUUUGGGAAGGGUCAACCAUUCACGUUCCCCCGUCGUACGCCUCUGGUAGUAGCCAGAAACGUUUGUUUAACAUAAUUUAGUAGGGUGUAUAGUACCAGCAUCACUUAGCAAAUUUCGUGUUGUUGUGCCAUGCCUGUGAGGAAAUAUUCAAAAAUAAAUAAAAUAAAAGUUUAACUUUGACACCCUGCAUUUCGGUUAUUAUCAACUUUUGUACUAAGGUAAGUUAGCUUAAAUCGACCUAUUUUAACCUCAGGAAUCUAAGGUUAAGCUAUGGCCCAUUCUUUACCAAACACCCUGCAUAAUAUACACAAAGCGCGCUUACGCAUCGACGGCACUAAUCUGUAGUCAUAUUUGGACUCGCUUAUGUGCCACCAUAGCUGAAAGGGCUCAUGAUAUGUUUCCCCUUUAUAGAAGUAAUUCUGUGCAGUACUUCUUUCAAGUCACCAGAACUGCGUCCAUAUCGCUUAUAAUAUUGCCUGUUUCAUCUUCUAGAGCAUAGUUUCUGGGUCUAAAUUCCCGAGCAAGCAGUUUCAGUUUUUGGAAUCUCUUGUUUAAUUUCGAUGUAUGGGGAUUUCUAUUUCCUGGCAGAUGUUAGAAACAUAUUCAUCUGCUAUCUUCGUUGAAUUUCUCUUGGCAAGGUUUAAUCAUUUAAAUCAUACCUGCUAAUUUUAAGCUGCUUUCUUUGUUCUAUAAUUUCCCAUGUUUGGUUACUUAUCCAUGGUUUACGACUACUGCUUCUUUCGGAUUUACUACAUUGAUUAGCUGGAUCUAAUAUAGUUCGUUUAAAAUCGCUCCUAAAAGUUUCAACAUCUUUGGGUACCAAUUAUCCCACUUAACACUGGGUUUAUUUUAUCUUUGAAAGUUACCAGUUGUGGGCUUGUUAUUGCUUCUAAAAUUUAUUCGAAACAUAGCUACCAGAAGUUAAAGGUCGCUUCCCCAACCUGCAUCUGGACAAGUUUUUGCGUUUGUACAUAUGAAGACUUCCACUUUGAAUCGAUCAUUAUAAAAUCUCUUUGAUUCUUUCGUCUGUCACACUUACGUCGUCUGCUGUUCAUGUUGAAACAUAUGUGUAAGAUGAAAAGUGAACCCCGACUUCGAAGAUGAUUGAUUCUAUCAUUAAUUGCAUCAUAUUCGCGCACACAGCUUUGCAGUCUUUAAGAAAUUGUUAUUGCGACGCCAUUCUUACUUUCAUUUUCAUUGCCAGAGAAAUAGAUAUUUCCGUAAAUGCUUCGGAAGUGUCUUGUCUCCCUCUAGUGAGUUUCACCUAUACCAAGAAUGGAAACGCCAUGAUCUUGUAUUUCUAGGGAUUAUGCUUAUUUCGCACCUGCAACCUGGGGAAAAUUCACUCAUCCCAGAUACCUACGGUAUCAAAAGGAUUGAGCUCUGGUGGGACCCUUUCCGCCUCCCAAAAAUUUUCGUACACAUCUGGCCGUCGAGAGUAGUACAACUUUCUGCAUGGUCUUAUACAUAUGUUCAUUCAGACCCAGUUUUUAUGUUUUCUAGGAGGUUCUUCGGAAUGACUCCAAUAGUAGAGACUAUAAUAGAUAUUGUCUGGGUACUUGGCAUUCUCCACCGUCUUGGUAUUUGAAUUUUCCGAUCUCUGUAUUUGCCGAUCUUUUCAGUGCAUUUAGAACGCAGGUAAUUAUUGGUAGGUAUCGCCACAUCAAUGAAGGUUGUUUGUCUUGUUAAUUUAUUAACUAAUAGGAGAUCUGGUCUAUUAUGUGCCCCAGUUUGGUCUGUGAGCACAGUGCGGUCCCAGUAUAGCUUGUAGUUGUCAUUCUCAAGCACACUCUCCGGAAUGUAUUGAUAGUAUGGUAGAUGGUUUCUUUGGAGAAGUUAGAGUUUGAUGGCCAUCUCUUGAUGCAUGAUCUUUCCUACAAGUCAUGCCGCUCCUUACACUCAGUUGCAGCAAGUGCCUGGCAUCCCCUGUAAGAUGUUGAAUGGUUUCUUGGGCUUGACAUCCAUAUCGGGAUUUAUCGUUUUGGACCUGAGGGUCUUUGACGAUAUAUUUCAGGUAAUUUUUAGUUGGUAUGACCUGAUCCUGAAUGGCGAGUAAUGAACCUUCCGUUUCAGGGAACAUCUUUCCUGAUGUCAACCAAUAGUUGGCUGACCUCAUCGAGAUGUCGCCCGUGCAGAGUUUCAUCCAUGGGCGUAUUUUUUCUUCCUUUAUGAGGUGGUUUAUGCGCAUUUCUGGUUACCUCAGUUUGAUCGGUGUUGUGUCGUCUACUGCGCAAAUAGCCCGAUGUAGAGUAUACGUCUCAGCCUCCAUCUGAAAAUAUAUAUAAGCAGUGGGGUUCCUACGGUCUCCUCCGCAUCCCACAUUUCGCUCGCCAUCGUUUUCGAUCCACCCACUCGUUCUCUUCUAUAACUCUAUCUUCCAUAUACUGUUCUAUGCCUUUCUUCCAUGUUUUGUAGGCCUUCCUCUUCUUCUUCUAUUUAUAUGCGUGUAAUUUAAUGCUCUUUUUGGCCAUCUUUCCUCUGGCAUUCUCAUAACAUGACCAUACCAUAGCAAUUUCUUUGUUUCUAUUCGGUCAACCGUGGAAUAUACACUCUUUGAUCUACUUCUGAAAUUAGCAAUCUGUUUAUCUAAUUGCUCACUUAUAUCCAUAAGUCCUCUUCCACCAAAAUUCCGUGGUAAUGUCAUUCUUUCUACUGCACUUUGAGGAUGUUGUUUUCGUGCCUUUGUAAGGUGUGUUCUUACUUUUCGCUUAAGAUUUUCUAUAUUGGUUUUUGUCCACUUAACAAUGCCAAAUAAAUUGCUAAGCGCGGAACAUGCGUAGGUGUUUAAUGCCUUAAAAAAAUUCUACUGUUAAGGUGUGAACGAAGAAGCUGUUUUACCCUUCGUAUAAACUCCGUAAUUAUCUCAGUUUUCAUUUGCUCAUGGUCAAUUUUUUGCGCUUGCUUUACUCCGAGAUAUUUAUACAUAUCGUUUUCACCCAUGGCCUCGAUGUUCUGGCCAUUUUACAUAUCGAAUCCUCCGGGCUAUACCUUUCCUCUGAGCUAUUUUAAAAUACGGCACUUGUUUUAGAAGUUUUUUUUUGCAUGUGACCUAGUUGAUUUCGAGUGGAAGCCAUUCGUUUCAAAUCGUCCAUAUACAACAGAUGAUUUAGCUUCGCCACCACAGUGUUGUUAUUUUUUAUGCUAAAACCUGAGUCAGUGAAAUUCAAUAGCUGAGAUAGUGGGUUCAUAGCUAGGACAGAGCCACAGUUGACUCAACGAAUCUCCUUGGAACAGGCCCCGGUUGAUUCCGAUAUUUUCAGUUUCGAUGUUAAUUUCACCAGGUACUUGAAGGUGAUUUAGUCUUCCACUGUCAUUAUAUGCUUUAUAAAAGUCACUAUAUUAUCAUCGACUAUUUAUAUUCGCAAUAUAUCUAUAAGCGAUUUAUGCGGCACUGAAUAAAAGGCCUUCUUGUAAUCAAUGAAGGCAGUAAAAAGGUUCCUUUUUUGGAAUAUGCCUGGUUAAUAAUGACCGAGUCGAUGGUUAGUUGUUCUUUCCAAUCCAUGGAACCCUUAGCAUAGUGUUGAUAGAUACGCCGUGCUACACAGGAUGUGAUCAUUUAUACAAAGUUGCGAGACAAGUAAUUGGGCGGUAUUUGGUUGGAUCUUGGGUGUUAUUUUGAUCCUUCGGUAUUAAAUAAGUGGUUCCCUGAGUUAGGAACGAUGGUAUUUCCUGCGGAUUAGAAAUAACAUGAUUAAUUAGUGUUGAUAAGCACUUAUGAAUGCUCCAGAAGUUAUGAACUGCGUGUGGUCCAAAAGAUUUCACUAUUUAUUAAUAUUAGUAAAUAUUAUGUCCUAUACGUACGUAUGCAUAUAUUAUAUACCCUUCAGUAUUAUGUCCUAUAAAAUACAAGAAUCUUACAAACCGGAAGUAAAAACCAGUCUGAUAAUCACUGUUUUACAUUCGAUUUACUCAUCUGGAGAUGUUCAUCAGCAUCACAUAUUACACUUGGCGUGGGUCAUUCUUGCCAACUUAGCACUUGUUUAGGUUUUUAAUUUUUUUUCCUAUCUACAUUUAAACAUAAUUUUGCAUAUUUCUCUUUACAUGUCCUCUAAAUGCUAAGUAUACAGGGUGAGGCAAAUAAAGGGCCUAUUAGAAAUAUCUCGAGAACUAAAGGCAACAGAAUCAUGAAAAUUGGAAUAAAGGGGUUUUGAAGGAUGAUCUAUUAAAUGAAAAUAUUUUCAUCUCUUUGCAACUUCCGGUUAUGCCGGAAGUUGCUUAUAACUUCGUUUUUUUAAAUGGGACACCCUGUAUAUUUUUACAUUUUUGGAUUCUCUUCGAUGUCUUCUUUCUUAAAAUAUGAGGUUUUGUAAUAUUAUACAGGGUAUUUUAAAAGAUAAUUACGUUUUUUUAUUAAUUUCGUAGCAACACCCUGUAGAAUUGUAGUAGUUUGACAUCUAAAACUCUACUUACGUUCAAAUUAUUUUUAAUAUACUCUACUAUUGUUAAGAAUCAUUAGUAUAGCUAAAUUUUUAAGUUUAGUAUACAGGGUUGGUCGAAACUCGGAAUGAGUAUUUUCUGAGUUUUCUUAAAUGGAACACCCUGUAUUUUAGUAUUGUAAUGAAAUGAUAUUUUAUGGUACUUUUUUAUUUCUUAAGCAUUCCCUAUACCUAACUGCUUUAAUUUGUGCUUAAUUGUUAAUCGCACCAACAAUCUUAACUAAGUAGGUAUUUCGAUAGCUAAACCAUUAUUGGUAAUUUUAAGGACCAGUCUGGAUUAAUAUGUAUUUAUUUCUGAAAAAUUAUUUGGGAUUGAGUAUUUUCACGGCCAACCUAAUAAAAUUUUACGUAUUUUUUGUUGCAAUUAAUGUUUAGCUUGAAUCACCAAUAACUCACAAAUUAAAGCAGUUAGGUAUAGGGAAUGCUUAAGAAACAAAAAAGUACUAUAAAAUAUCACUUCGUUACAAUACAAAAAUACAGGGUGUUCCAUUUAAGUAAACUCAGAAAAUACUCAUUCAGAGUUUCGACCAACCCUGCAUACUAAAAUGAAACAUUUUGCUAUAUUAUUAAUUAUUAAUAAUAAUAGACUAUAUUAAAAUCACUUGAACAUAAAUGGAGUUUUUGAUAUCAAAUCAGUACAAUUCUACAGGGUGUGAAGUUUGCUACAAAAUUUAUAAAAAACCGUAAUUAUCUUUUAAACUACCCUGUAUAAUAUUACAAAACCUCACAUUUUAAGAAAGAAGACAUCGAGCAGAAUCCAAAAAUGUAAAAAUAUACAAGGUGUCCCAUUAAAAAAAAACGAAGUUACAAUAAACUUCCGGUAUAACCGGAAGUAGCAAAGAGACCAAAAUAUUUUCAUUAAAUAGUUCAUACCUCAAAACCCCUGUAGUCCAAUGUUCAUGAUUUUCGUACCUUUAGUUCCCGAGAUAUUUCUAAUAGGCCCUUUAUAUGUCUCACCCUAUAUAAAAGGCACUAAAAUCAUGUAUAUAAGAUCAUACCAAAGUUCACUGUUACGGAAGUAUUAAUUUUUAUAAUAAAAAAACUUGAUACUUUAGCUAAAUUUAAAUGAAACCACUAUAGAGACCAGUACUACUUUUUUGUGAAUUGUUAAUUUUAUGAAUGUAUUUAUGUUGAACCAAUAUAUAUUUAGUUGUAUUUUAUUUAUAUUUUAUCGAUUGUGUCAUAUUUCUAAGUGUGCAAUAUUUUGAAGUUUUAAUAAAUACAAAAAAAAUUUAGAAA